Molecule: long non-coding RNA, 2525 nt
Filed under: Olea europaea subsp. europaea
Lineage: Eukaryota; Viridiplantae; Streptophyta; Magnoliopsida; Lamiales; Oleaceae
Source: RNAcentral
CACCAGUAUCUUUACUUAAAUCACUUAUUAUUCAAUCUUUCUUUUUAUUUUAUAAAUUAAUAGCAUCCAAAUGAAGAGUGUUUCUGUAGUAGGAUUUUACCUAGUUGGAGAUAUAAGUGAACACUUUUCACUAUACUAAGCUAUUCACCACUAGCUAAGAAUAAUGUCAAACAUUCGUUCAUUGCCUCUUGUAAAUUGACAUGACCCAUCCCGUAUCAGUCUAAUGGACUAGGAAUGUGAUGUGUGCCGACGAUAGAUGUUGACUAGAGGCUAGAUCCACCACCAAGGCUGACUAUGACUUACUACAAAAUGUCCGCCAAAAUCAAAUAUUUAUGCAAAAUAUAAUGCAAUGGGUCCCAAAAAAAAUAAUUAUUUCAUGUUUUACCAAAAUGAAUCAUAUAACUCAAUAUGUCAUGUGGCUCUAAUUCUAAUGCCACCAGCGUCCUCAAGCUAACAGGGACAAUACUACCUGUAAGAAAAAUUUGGAAAAAAUAGGAAUUUAUAACUCAAUGAAUGGAAGAGUUUGAAAAUAAUUAUACUUUCUCACUUAAACAUUUUUCUCAUAUGUAGACAUCAAGUUCAUAUCGUUUAGUAAUUCACACGAUAACCUCAUACAAUUAUACCAAAAAAGAGACAUUCUCAUAACUCUGUAAAUAUCAUCUCAUCACAUCACAUAUGAUCCGCCAAAAAUGUGCUCUCUAACUAAAAUCUAAAAAAAAAACCCCGAGAUCUCAUCACAUUACAUGUGAUCCGCAAAAAAUGUACCCUCUAAAUAAUCUGAAAUCCGUCACUCGGGCUAAGAACUUUCACCAUGGGUCUUUGGCCCUCUCCGUGAACGAAAGUUGGUCUCAAGACCUCUGGUAGUCAUCCGUGAACUAGAAGAAGUAUAUAAUCACUGGUACUUUUUUGAUCGAUCUCAAUAUUACAUCUCAUAUUCCAAAUCACAAACUUUAGCAUAUACAAUCUUUGAAAUUCCACAUGUAUCAUGGUAAAAGAAACUUUUAUGGUAAUCAUAUAAUUGAGCAAAUAAUUCACAUAACUUAAUAAUAUACUUAAUUUAUAAUACCUUGAAAUUAUUUAAGUUUUUCCACUCACAGAUCUAUGGAUAGAAAUUUGAUUAAAUUAAAGAACCUUUCUAAACUUUCACAUCCCUACCUGAAAUAACGUAUAAUUUCUUAAAACUUAACAAUUAUAGUAAUGCAAAUCCACCACUUAACAUCUCAACUUCUAUACUUACUCUUAUAUCUCCAAUUCCCCAACUUUUCUUCUCUUUAAUAAUUUAUCAACUAAUCACCAUACACUAUCAAAUUCAUUACACCACUCACACUUCCUUAAAAUCACUACCUUUAUACAUAUACAACAGCUGUACAUAUUUAGUCCAAUACAUAGACUUCAAAAUUUGUCAUAUAAAUUCAUUCAAAACUUUAAAAAUCUAGAAAUCCAAGGUUUGACAAAACAGCACUAAAAUUCCAGAAUAUAGAAAUCUAGCACCAAUUUCUAUAUAUUGAAAUCUGGCAUCGAAACCAUUGACAUUUUUGGGUAGAAUUUCAGAAUUAACACUUGUACUAUAAUAGCUUGAAAAUUGCUUUAAAAUAAUGGAGAAUUCAAAUCUCAAAUCCUUAAUUUGAGUGUUUAGCAUCAUAUAAUCACAAGAAACUCAAAGAAUAUAUCUUUCAUCUCACAACCCAUUUCCAAAAUUCUACUUUCUUCAACUUCAAUUUUCAAAUAAAUAUUUCCUUGCUAUAUUCUUAAUUAAAACCUUGAAUACACAUCAAUAACACCUAAUUCUUGCUAACUUCAAAGUUUUAGAGAUAAGUUUCAUAGACCCUAAAGGAGAUAAUUUCACAUUCUUAUACUUACCUCUCUAAAUUAAGGGGAGAAAAUGAGAAAUUGAGAACCUAGCCUUGUAAAAUUGGAACCUAUCCCUUCCUUCUUUUUCUUUUUCUCUUCCAUUUUCUUCCUUUUCCUUCCGUGGUUUUGUUCUUUGCUUCUCCAUUCGGUUUUUCUCCCCCAAAAUGACAAAAAAGAGAUCAAUUAUCCUUUAAGUUAAUGGAUAACCAUUAUAAAAUUGCAACUAAAGUCCCCAUCCUUCAUAUAAUAUACCAUUUACUCCUUUUAUUCCAAUAAAUAGAAAACAUAUCCCUAAUAUAUAUAUAUAUAUAUAUAUAUAUAUAUAUAUACACACACACACUUUUGGCCCUUAAGUACUUGUUAUUAGAAAUUAAGCCCCAUAAAAAUUAUUUGUUCAACUUAAGUCCUUAUUGAUUUUGACUUUGACCAAUUACUUUGCUUGACUUUGACUAAAAAUGGGUGUCACUUUGACCAAAAAUGAGUGGGGUGUAAUAAUCUUAUCCCCUUCAAAGAAUUUCGUUUUCUCGAAACUCAAUCCACUAGAAUUCGAACAUAUUAUAAAAUAAAGAAAAAAUAAUGAAUGAUUUCUCCAAGAACCUUGAAUGAGGCCCAAAGUUUAUUCUUUCCUUAUUAUACAUCGAAUAACUUUCCUAAGAACCAAUAUAUGAUAUUCU